Molecule: long non-coding RNA, 485 nt
Filed under: Medicago truncatula (barrel medic)
Lineage: Eukaryota; Viridiplantae; Streptophyta; Magnoliopsida; Fabales; Fabaceae
Source: RNAcentral
GCGAUCAUACCAGCACUAAUGCACCGGAUCCCAUCAGAACUCCGCAGUUAAGCGUGCUUGGGCGACUUGUCUUUAUUUUUGCUAAUGAUUUAUUUGUGGAAGAGCUGUGUUACCAACUCUCAAGGUGGGAUUGUACCUGGUGUUGGCGCUAGAUAUUCCCAACAUUAGUCGGCUGAUAGCAUAUUGGGAAUACCUACUCUCAAGGUGGGAUUGUACCUGGUGUUGGCGCUAGAUUUGUUAAGAACAAUGUUAUUUUCUUGCCUUGUUUGAGGGAAAAGCAUGAUAACCCAUAUAUGGAUGUAGUAAGUUACUUGGCCUUGGUAAAUUUGAAAGUAGGAUAACCUUAUUUUUAAAUAUAUGUAAAUCAGAACAAAGGGUUAUUAUGUUGAAUUAUUACGCACAAUUUGGAUUGUGUAUGGUAGUUUCGGAAUGAAUUAAACCCUACAGAAGGGGUAUCUGCCUGGUAUUGCUGGCAUUUACUUGCA